UUCAGGGGUAAACCUGAGAAACCCGAAAGGUCGAAAGGGGAAAUUCAUUCGCGUUUCGACCGUCGGCGUUGGGAGGUCGCGCGACGAGCGGCGUACGCGCCGCUCGCGCCUUCCGCUCUUCGAACCGUCGUCGAACGCGUGCACUUUUCCCCUUGUAGGACGUCGCGAUUCGUCGGGCGUCGGUCUAAGGCCCGCGGAGGAGACCGCGCGGACGUUUCGGCGUUCCGCGUCGGACCCGCGGUGUAUCUCACCCGGCCGACUCGCUCGACGGUAUACGCAAGGCGAGAGGCCGCUAUCUCUUUUUUGGUUAGCGUUCGGCCCGCGGCAAGCCGGUUCGGAGGCUACGGCGAUCGGACUCUGUGCCGGUCCCGUUCCCGAACGACUGUUGGCCGCGCGGCGUUUUUCUCGAACAGAGCGGUCGCGCCGAUCUGCGACGCUAUAGUUUUGGGUACUUUCAGGACCCACGGACCAAGGAGUCUAGCAUGUACGCGAGUCAUUGGGACAUAUCUAAACCUAAAGGCGUAAUGAAAGUGAAGGUUCGCCUCGCGCGAACCGAGGGAGGAUGAGCGGCGGCUGCUUAAGCCAUACGCUCUCGUAUCGAAGCGACCGCUCCGCACUCCCGGGGCGUCUCGUUCUCGUCGCGAGAAGAGGCGCACCAAGAGC
This 663-nucleotide ribosomal RNA is filed under the name Cyrtonops asahinai. RNAcentral describes it as "eukaryotic LSU rRNA". The record is from RNAcentral. Lineage: Eukaryota; Metazoa; Arthropoda; Insecta; Coleoptera; Cerambycidae.